Long non-coding RNA from Dicentrarchus labrax (European seabass), 2881 nucleotides. RefSeq lists it as uncharacterized. The transcript has 2 exons. NCBI's taxonomy places the organism in Eukaryota, Metazoa, Chordata, Actinopteri, Moronidae. The record is from RefSeq and is a predicted model, not a curated record.
AGAGCGGCAGAGACACACAGAGGCUGGAAAGAGAAAACCCGUUUGACAAGCACAACAAAAGGCAGUGAAACUCCAAACCGGAGGCAGCACUGAGAGACAAUGGAGCAGGAUUAGAAGUCUGGAGCGAGAGACAGAGAGAUGAGGAAAAACAAGCUGUUCUCUGUAGAGAGAUCUAAAGAGGCUAUUGAGCCGGGCUUCACACAAGCAGUAUUUGGCAAAUCAUUGUUUACUGUUACUCUGAUUUGAAUGGCACACCAUAAAUAACCAUAAACCCCAUUCCAAGUCAGCCUCCAGCAUCCACUUGAUAUGGAUGAGGCUGCUUUUUUUUGCCAAAGUUUUUGAGCUAUUUUGAAGAGGAUUACUCUUAUAUAAGGAUUAUCGCCACAAAAGAUCUAUUAUAAGACUGUAAACAGAUAGGAUGAUUCAAUGAAAAACAUAUUUCACUGGCAAAAUCAAACUUGCCUUGGCUUGAAAUGUGCUUAAGGCAUAUUGAUGUAACGAUUAAAUCUGAAACUGUGUUUUCAGGGGGCAGUUAAUCAUAACAGAUGUAUGACUCUGAUUGGAGUUGUCGUUGGAAUUGAGAGCAAAAAUUAGUUUGCCACACACAUCACAACAAGAUCACAUCCAACUGAAUGAUCUUAUAGUACUGAACCACACAGCAUGGUCAAUAUUGUUGUUAUAUAUCUAUAUCUCUAUUUAUCUCCAUAUAUUUAUAUAUGUAUAUAUAUACCAUAUAUCACCUGACUUUUUAAAAAAUGUUUCACCACUGCAUUGAUUUCUUGAGGAGUAAAAGAUGGCAUCAUCUUGCACACUGCAUAAGACAAUUAAAAGGCUCAUUGACUAGCAAUUCAUUAGAAUAAGCACUCAAUAUAAAUACAAUAUGAGGCUACUGAUAGGAACUGUGAUUCCAUCUUUCUCUACCCAGGGAUUGUAGUGAAACAAUCUGACACACAAUAGAAUAAUUUGUUUACCUAAAUUGUGUUUCUACAGCUCAGAAAAGCCUUUGCAUGGAAUUUGGCAACACAAAGAACAUCAAGCUCUCAGAAAUGGCAGCCAAGAGUGGAGGGGGAAGCUUUGGCAGACUAGCAGAGCAGACACAAAACACUUACCUAAUGCCUCGGUUUUAACUAUGUUUUAUCGGCAUGAGGUCAGUUGUUGGUCCCAAGAUGAAUUGUCCUUCUUUUUAACCGCACCAGUUGGUUGGAGGAACCCUUCUUGGAGUCAGUUUGCAUCACUCCCUCUCUCUCUCUCCCCCUGUUGAUAUUUUGUGUGACUCCCUGCUCCUUAUUUGCCCUCUGGAUCAUUCUCUAGAUGCUCUUGACUUUUCCACAAGUCUCUCAACCUGUCAUAACUGUGCAACAUAAAACAGACUCAAUAUGUUGUUUUGCAAGGUUGUUUGUGGAUUCCUGGAGCCUGUCUCGUGAAGGAAGAUAAACUUGGCUGAAUAAAACCUUCAAACCUGAUCUGGAACAUGGAGACUUGUAUUGGGUUUUACUCAAGUAUAGUUAACCAGCUAAAUGAGUAAUCCUGCUUUGUGAGAUAAGCCCCUGGUGCUGCACUUGCUCAGUAAUGUUUGUUUUCUGUGUGUGGGUUGGUAGGGAAAGGUAGGGGAAGGACAGCUGUCAAAACUUAUCAGAGGCAGUGAGAUACAGGUGAGGGAAGCAGGAAAAAAAAAGCACAGUGCAAGUAGAGCACAUAUGAAGGGCAGAGAUAUCCUGCAGCAUUUUCUAAAUAUGGCUUACAAUAUUCUUCCAAGAAUACAAAUAUGUACUCGAAGCACUUGCUUCAACACAAUGUGCUUCAAUAUGCAAAUGAAAACCAUGUAGCAGAGUAUAAUUACAAUUCACCAAUCAAUACACUGAUUUGCCAGUUUAUAGAAUGCAUUAGCUAAAGUUAGCUCUACUAAUUCUAAUUCAAUACUUAGAGAGGUGCUGAUUGAACUUUAUGAUCUUCUGCAGGCUGUUUAUUGUAGUGCUGUUGCAGUCUAUGCAACCGAGAUAUUUCUCAUAUUUAGUCUACCCUAACUGAUAGAAACUGAUCCUUUUCAUGGAAGACCGUUUGACUUGUCGAAGCAGAAACAGCACAGACGGAAUUGAUAACAUUAAUGAUGGCUGCAUUACAUUUACGUGAAACCAGCUCUAGGCUCUGGUAUUGUGCAUGCUCACUCACUGACAUGGCUUACUGGGGCACUUAAUGAAAUGGAGCCAUUGUUAAUGUUAUUAGUUACACCUGUGCUUUUCCUGCUUGUUUAUUAUAUAUAAGUUAACACCUUUCAAAUAAGGUAUUUCCAGCUCCUGGUUUAUCAUAGGACCAUAGCUGUCAAAUAUUAGAUCUUUAUAUUAAGUUGCAUAUAUUCAUCAAUGAUCAAAUGUGCUUAUAUUGACAUGGUUCAAAAAUAUACCUCAAUGUAAAAUGUAAAAGAGCACAGUUUUUGGUUAUAUGAAUAUAUACAGUACAUAGGUACACACUGGUUUAUUUCUUAGCACCUUAGCAGUUCCAAAGUGCCUAUUUCUACAUUUCUCCACCUACCCUAACCUGUCUGUCUCAGAGCUAAGGUCAUCAAUUUUUAAAUUGCUAUUCAGCAGCCUCUAUUUCACAUUUUUUUUGGAAUGGAUACUCAUAAAUAUGUCCAGAGUGCAUUAUCUUAUGUAUCACACAAAGCACCAACUCAUUACUGUCUACUGCCAAAGGCAUAUCUAGCCUAAUCUCUCUCCCCCUCUCUCUGUCGCCUUUUUGUCUCUCUCUCAUAAAGUAAAAGGAAAAUGCAUUUUGCAACUUCAUGAAAACAGAAACACUCCCUCCUACUUCCCACACUGUUGGCUGGGUGAAUCUGAGUUUACAUUUGAAAAAUUAAAGUGUGUAUGUGGUUUCCUACUUGAAA